Non-coding RNA from Bos taurus (domestic cattle), 72 nucleotides. The record is from Rfam. Lineage: Eukaryota; Metazoa; Chordata; Mammalia; Artiodactyla; Bovidae.
UCCUGGUGGCUCAGAUGGUAAAGAAUCUGCCUGCAAUGCAGGAAAACCAGGGUUCGAUCCCUGGUUCAGGAA